Molecule: microRNA, 24 nt
Filed under: Ascaris suum (pig roundworm)
Lineage: Eukaryota; Metazoa; Nematoda; Chromadorea; Rhabditida; Ascarididae
Description: asu-miR-5354-5p
Source: miRBase by way of RNAcentral
GCGGGUAUGGUUGUGUUCCAAAGC